ACUCCUACGGGAGGCAGCAGUGGGGAAUUUUGGACAAUGGGCGAAAGCCUGAUCCAGCAAUGCCGCGUGAGUGAAGAAGGCCUUCGGGUUGUAAAGCUCUUUUGUCAGGGAAGAAACGGUGAGAGCUAAUAUCUCUUGCUAAUGACGGUACCUGAAGAAUAAGCACCGGCUAACUACGUGCCAGCAGCCGCGGUAAUACGUAGGGUGCAAGCGUUAAUCGGAAUUACUGGGCGUAAAGCGUGCGCAGGCGGUUUUGUAAGUCUGAUGUGAAAUCCCCGGGCUCAACCUGGGAAUUGCAUUGGAGACUGCAAGGCUAGAAUCUGGCAGAGGGGGGUAGAAUUCCACGUGUAGCAGUGAAAUGCGUAGAUAUGUGGAGGAACACCGAUGGCGAAGGCAGCCCCCUGGGUCAAGAUUGACGCUCAUGCACGAAAGCGUGGGGAGCAAACAGGAUUAGAAACCCCGGUAGUCCCAU
RNAcentral lists this ribosomal RNA (472 nucleotides) under uncultured organism. RNAcentral describes it as "partial 16S ribosomal RNA". It matches the Rfam family "Bacterial small subunit ribosomal RNA", at positions 335 to 798 of the family's 1533-position model. The record is from RNAcentral.